GCCUACGGGGGGCAGCAGUGGGGAAUAUUGCACAAUGGGGGGAACCCUGAUGCAGCGACGCCGCGUGAGUGAAGAAGUAUUUCGGUAUGUAAAGCUCUAUCAGCAGGGAAGAAGAUGACGGUACCUGACUAAGAAGCCCCGGCUAACUACGUGCCAGCAGCCGCGGCAAUACGUAGGGGGCAAGCGUUAUCCGGAUUUACUGGGUGUAAAGGGAGCGUAGACGGCAGGGCAAGUCUGGAGUGAAAGCCCGGGGCCCAACCCCG
RNAcentral lists this ribosomal RNA (263 nucleotides) under uncultured bacterium. RNAcentral describes it as "partial 16S ribosomal RNA". It matches the Rfam family "Bacterial small subunit ribosomal RNA", at positions 337 to 617 of the family's 1533-position model. The record is from RNAcentral.